UUUAUGCAACUUCCCCAUUCGGUUUACAUCUUUAGUUAGUUAAUGUUUUUUUUUUUUGUUAAAGAAAUUUGGUUUAGGGAACGUGUCCCUAUCAGAGAUGUUUUUUUUUUUUUGCCAAGAAUAUAAAUAUCAUUUCAAAAGUGAAAAAAAGAAUUAAAAAUAGUAAUUAACUAAAUCCCAGACCUCUAGAUUUGAUUACAUGAUAAAAGAAGGUAAAAAUAUGAAAAUAAAAGACAAACGAUAAUUCGUCCGUUUUACUUGGUAACGAACAUGAAAUAAAUAAUUGAUACAAACUUAAAACACAUUUGAAUGAAG
This 315-nucleotide long non-coding RNA is filed under the name Brassica rapa (field mustard). RNAcentral describes it as "long non-coding RNA (BRAP_LNC006407)". Lineage: Eukaryota; Viridiplantae; Streptophyta; Magnoliopsida; Brassicales; Brassicaceae. The record is from RNAcentral.